This 498-nucleotide ribosomal RNA is filed under the name uncultured bacterium. Its description in RNAcentral is "partial 16S ribosomal RNA". It matches the Rfam family "Bacterial small subunit ribosomal RNA", at positions 30 to 523 of the family's 1533-position model. The record is from RNAcentral.
AUUGAACGCUGGCGGCAUGCCUUACACAUGCAAGUCGAACGGUAACAGGUCUUCGGAUGCUGACGAGUGGCGAACGGGUGAGUAAUACGUCGGAACGUGCCUAGUAGUGGGGGAUAACUACUCGAAAGAGUGGCUAAUACCGCAUGAGAUCUACGGAUGCAAGCAGGGGAUCGCAAGACAUUGUGCUACAAGAGCGGCCGAUGGCAGAUUAGGUAGUUGGUGGGAUAAAAGAUUACCAAGCCGACGAUCUGUAGCUGGUCUGAGAGGACGAUCAGCCACACUGGGGCUGAGACACGGCCCAGACUCCUACGGGAGGCAGCAGUGGGGAAUUUUGGACAAUGGGCGAAAGCCUGAUCCAGCAAUGCCGCGUGCAGGAUGAAGGCCUUCGGGUUGUAAACUGCUUUUGUACGGAACGAAAAGCCCCGGGUUAAUACCCUGGGGUCAUGACGGUACCGUAAGAAUAAGCACCGGCUAACUACGUGCCAGCCGCCGCUGUAA